AGCGAACGUUUGCGGCGGGCCUAACACAUGCAAGUCGAACGCACUAGCAAUAGUGAGUGGCGCACGGGUGCGUAACACGUGGGUAAUCAACCCUUCAGCUUGGGAUAACGACUUGAAAGGGUCGCUAAUACCGGAUACGGCGAGAGAGGCUUCGGCAUUUCUCGAGAAAGCCUCGCAAGGGGCACUGAAGGACGAGCCUGCGGCCCAUCAGCUAGUUGGUGAGGUAAGAGCUCACCAAGGCGAAGACGGGUAGCUGGUCUGAGAGGAUGAUCAGCCACACUGGAACUGAGACACGGUCCAGACUCCUACGGGAGGCAGCAGUGGGGAAUAUUGCGCAAUGGGCGAAAGCCUGACGCAGCCACGCCGCGUGAGCGAUGAAGGCCUUCGGGUCGGUAAACCUCUUUCAAUAGGACGAAGACGCAAGUGACGGUACCUAUAGAAGAAGCACCGGCCAACUAACGUGCCAGCAGCCG
RNAcentral lists this ribosomal RNA (473 nucleotides) under uncultured bacterium. Its description in RNAcentral is "bacterial SSU rRNA". It matches the Rfam family "Bacterial small subunit ribosomal RNA", at positions 29 to 517 of the family's 1533-position model. The record is from RNAcentral.